GGCGUCGGGGGGCUGCUGACCGCUUGCUCCCGAGGCGGUGGCAUGGCGGGGCUGUUGGGAAAACGACUGGAAGAGAAAACAGAUAUGACAGCUACAUUUGGAUGAGUGACAAUUAUAAACGGACCGGAGCGGAGGGUGACCAGUUUGCAUCAAACGGAUCUUCCUGUUGGUUCGGUAGCAAAGAAAUUGAUAACUCACUCCUUGGGAUGCACAAGAGUCAAUUCAUUCAAAUGUUAUCGUGCUGCUGUUCCCCAAGAAACCGACAGUCAAUAAGUACUCCUAAGGAAAAAGAGAAGGAUAUGAAAGGCCUUCAGAAGUCUCUUAAAAUACCAAAGCAGAAAUUCAAUCAGGUAGAAGACAUGAUAGGUCCAAGUGGAAGUGCAUCAGUAGCAACAAAUUUACUCUUAAUCCUUUUAAGAUGAAAGUAAAUCUGAUACCUCUAAAUUGGAAGGACCAUUAAUACUCAAUGAGUCUAAAAUAAAACAUUCAACGAGACAAAAUCAGAUUCAACAAGAACAUAAUUUGUUUAGUGAGACUGAAAACAAAAGAAAUCUCUGCUGAGAUUUUAAAAUUAAAUAAAUGGCACAAAUAAUAUUAGUAAAAGAACAUUAAGAUCCAGGAAAUUCAUACAGUGUUACUUGGUUCAACAAAGAUCGAUGAUGAAAGUUUGAUUUUAUAUAUCACAUCCUAGGAAAGUAGUGUGAAGGAGAUGGUUGAGCAUCAUACCAGUAUAACUUCACUAUCCAUAGAUAGAUUCUAUAAAGGUGGUAAAAGGCUGUAAAAAGGUAGCCAAAGUUUCAUCACAUUUAGAAAAGGAGAAACCUAUGAAGAAUAGGUCUAGAGCACAGCAGAUAGCAGCAGAAAGCAGCAGAUAGAAAAUUUGAGAUUGAAGAGUUGUAAUUUCACUUUGUCAGAAAUACAGAGAACUCAAGUGUCUGUCAAAAUUUCAGGGGGAGCUUUAAAAGUGAAGCAAAAAAAGCAGGGAGUAAUAUCAAGAUCUAGAAAUGCGAAAAAGUGAAUGUUUCGCACAGAUGAAAAAAAUCUGCACAGAUUGCCAGGAAACCUCCAGUCAAAGGAGGUCCCUCUUAUGAUUUAGCAUCAGGAAGAAAACUAAUAAGGAAUUGCAUACAUUUAGCCCUUUGCUGAAUGAAACAGAUAUAUCACGGAGAGAGAAUGAAAAGGAAUAUAUGUUAAGAUUUUGAAAUAGAAGCAAAGGUGAUAACAAAAUCACAAGAAUCUUCCGGUAGUUUAGUUAUUUUUCUUUCACAAAAGAGAUGAGGUGUUAAUAAGAAUGAAGAGAAUUGUGAAUAAAGGAAAUUCUCCUUUGAGAUAUAGAAACAAAUUAAAAAUAAGGAAAUGUUCUCUAGUGAGUCACAUAUAUAAAGCAUGCACA
Molecule: long non-coding RNA, 1393 nt
Filed under: Sarcophilus harrisii (Tasmanian devil)
Lineage: Eukaryota; Metazoa; Chordata; Mammalia; Dasyuromorphia; Dasyuridae
Description: lncRNA (ENSSHAG00000021072.1)
Source: RNAcentral